CUCAUUAAAUCAGUUAUAGUUUAUUUGAUGGUCUCUUUGUCUUUUUUUUACCUACUUGGAUAACCGUGGUAAUUCUAGAGCUAAUACAUGCGCAAGGUCCCAAGCGCGGAGGGUAGGGCUUCACGGCUCUAUUCUUGCAUGCGCAGCGGGAUGUAUUUAUUAGGUUAAACAACCAGCUAUUUUCAUCAUCUGGUGAUUCAUAGUAACUCUUUCGGAUCGCAUUCAUG
This 227-nucleotide ribosomal RNA is filed under the name uncultured Acanthamoeba. Its description in RNAcentral is "partial 18S ribosomal RNA". It matches the Rfam family "Eukaryotic small subunit ribosomal RNA", at positions 97 to 279 of the family's 1831-position model. The record is from RNAcentral. Lineage: Eukaryota; Discosea; Longamoebia; Acanthamoebidae.